UCUGGGACAAGCCCUGGAAACGGGGUCUAAUACCGGAUAACACUCUGUCCCGCAUGGGACGGGGUUAAAAGCUCCGGCGGUGAAGGAUGAGCCCGCGGCCUAUCAGCUUGUUGGUGGGGUGAUGGCCUACCAAGGCGACGACGGGUAGCCGGCCUGAGAGGGCGACCGGCCACACUGGGACUGAGACACGGCCCAGACUCCUACGGGAGGCAGCAGUGGGGAAUAUUGCACAAUGGGCGAAAGCCUGAUGCAGCGACGCCGCGUGAGGGAUGACGGCCUUCGGGUUGUAAACCUCUUUCAGCAGGGAAGAAGCGAGAGUGACGGUACCUGCAGAAGAAGCGCCGGCUAACUACGUGCCAGCAGCCGCGGUAAUACGUAGGGCGCAAGCGUUGUCCGGAAUUAUUGGGCGUAAAGAGCUCGUAGGCGGCUUGUUGCGUCGGUUGUGAAAGCCCGGGGCUUAACCCCGGGUCUGCAGUCGAUACGGGCAGGCUAGAGUGUGGUAGGGGAGAUCGGAAUUCCUGGUGUAGCGGUGAAAUGCGCAGAUAUCAGGAGGAACACCGGUGGCGAAGGCGGAUCUCUGGGCCAUUACUGACGCUGAGGAGCGAAAGCGUGGGGAGCGAACAGGAUUAGAUACCCUGGUAGUCCACGCCGUAAACGUUGGGAACUAGGUGUUGGCGACAUUCCACGUCGUCGUGCCGCAGCUAACGCAUUAAGUUCCCCGCCUGG
This 726-nucleotide ribosomal RNA is filed under the name Streptomyces sp. RNAcentral's name for it is "bacterial SSU rRNA". It matches the Rfam family "Bacterial small subunit ribosomal RNA", at positions 137 to 876 of the family's 1533-position model. Lineage: Bacteria; Bacillati; Actinomycetota; Actinomycetes; Kitasatosporales; Streptomycetaceae. The record is from RNAcentral.